GUAUUUCUAAUAUCCUCCACAAAUUCAUCCAGGAUUCACGUUGCGUGGUAACGUGACUUGUGACAAUUGUGCCCUGAAGUUCAGUGCACUUUAUAAUAGUAAUAACUGUAGUACAUACCGCGCAAACUACCGCGUCUUACCAAGUAUAUUAUAUUCGCACUUCACGCUUGUAAUAUCAAGGAACAUCGUACAAAGAUUUUAAACUUCAUUCUGAAGAAAUCAUUGACAACCAUCGAAAGCAGCAGGGAAAACAUAUCAAUUCGCAGAAAAAGAAGAAUCCAAGCUUAUUUUCCUCAUAGAUGAUCAGCUGCUGGCAUCAUCGUUGUGCGAAAAUCCUCAGUCGGUCAUCGAAGCUCACGAACAGACAAAGAUUUUCCGUCUUGGAAUUUGGAUACAACGGCAGUUCAGCUUCAGCGACAGAAGCGGCGACAUCAGGAGCGAC
RNAcentral lists this unclassified non-coding RNA (442 nucleotides) under Athalia rosae (coleseed sawfly). RNAcentral's name for it is "misc RNA ENSAEAG00005011214.1". Lineage: Eukaryota; Metazoa; Arthropoda; Insecta; Hymenoptera; Athaliidae. The record is from RNAcentral.